Selaginella moellendorffii is the source of this 202-nucleotide ribosomal RNA. It matches the Rfam family "Eukaryotic large subunit ribosomal RNA", at positions 967 to 1170 of the family's 3401-position model. Lineage: Eukaryota; Viridiplantae; Streptophyta; Lycopodiopsida; Selaginellales; Selaginellaceae. The record is from Rfam.
UUUCCCUCAGGAUAGCUGGAGCUCUUGCUGAGUUUUAUCGGGUAAAGCGAAUGAUUAGAGGCAUCGGGGGUGAAACACCCUCGACCUAUUCUCAAACUUUAAAUAGGUAAAGCAGCCGGGGUUGCUCUGUUGAGCCCCGGCCGUGAAUGCGAGCUCCAAGUGGGCCAUUUUUGGUUAAGCAGAUCGACUAGGCCGUUUUCGG